CGGAACGGGUGAGUAAUGCGUGACCAACCUGCCCCAUGCUCCAGAAUAGCUCUUGGAAACGGGUGGUAAUGCUGGAUGCUCCAACUUGACGCAUGUCUUGUUGGGAAAGUGUUUAGUGGCAUGGGAUGGGGUCGCGUCCUAUCAGCUUGUAGGCGGGGUAAUGGCCCACCUAGGCCUCGACGGGUAGCCGGCCUGAGAGGGCGGACGGCCACAUUGGGACUGAGAUACGGCCCAGACUCCUACGGGAGGCAGCAGC
This 256-nucleotide ribosomal RNA is filed under the name uncultured Gardnerella sp. RNAcentral describes it as "partial 16S ribosomal RNA". It matches the Rfam family "Bacterial small subunit ribosomal RNA", at positions 98 to 355 of the family's 1533-position model. Lineage: Bacteria; Bacillati; Actinomycetota; Actinomycetes; Bifidobacteriales; Bifidobacteriaceae. The record is from RNAcentral.